RNAcentral lists this ribosomal RNA (472 nucleotides) under uncultured organism. RNAcentral's name for it is "partial 16S ribosomal RNA". It matches the Rfam family "Bacterial small subunit ribosomal RNA", at positions 334 to 797 of the family's 1533-position model. The record is from RNAcentral.
CACUCCUACGGGAGGCAGCAGUGGGGAAUAUUGCACAAUGGGCGCAAGCCUGAUGCAGCCAUGCCGCGUGUAUGAAGAAGGCCUUCGGGUUGUAAAGUACUUUCAGCGGGGAGGAAGGCGAUAAGGUUAAUAACCUUGUCGAUUGACGUUACCCGCAGAAGAAGCACCGGCUAACUCCGUGCCAGCAGCCGCGGUAAUACGGAGGGUGCAAGCGUUAAUCGGAAUUACUGGGCGUAAAGCGCACGCAGGCGGUCUGUCAAGUCGGAUGUGAAAUCCCCGGGCUCAACCUGGGAACUGCAUUCGAAACUGGCAGGCUAGAGUCUUGUAGAGGGGGGUAGAAUUCCAGGUGUAGCGGUGAAAUGCGUAGAGAUCUGGAGGAAUACCGGUGGCGAAGGCGGCCCCCUGGACAAAGACUGACGCUCAGGUGCGAAAGCGUGGGGAGCAAACAGGAUUAGAAACCCCUGUAGUCCCA